UCGUGCUAGACGGGGAGCUAGCGGUGCCCUGUUACCCGCAAUCCGCUAUAGCGGGGUCGAAUUCCUGCCCGAGGUAUGGUCGCUUGAGGAGAGUACUACGGCGGGCGGCGUUGAUAGUCGGGCCCUGCGCAAUGUUCGGCGCGCGAACCCCGUCAGGUCCGGAAGGAAGCAGCGGUAAGCACGUCUGGGCAUGUGCCGCAGAGUGUUCCGGCUGGAGCCGACCGUCGUAGCGACCCUUGGGCGGUCUUAUCGAAGGCAGGUGCACGA
RNAcentral lists this signal recognition particle RNA (267 nucleotides) under Armatimonadota bacterium. Its description in RNAcentral is "Armatimonadetes bacterium (hot springs metagenome) signal recognition particle sRNA large type". It matches the Rfam family "Bacterial large signal recognition particle RNA". Rfam says of the family: The signal recognition particle (SRP) is a universally conserved ribonucleoprotein involved in the co-translational targeting of proteins to membranes. Archaeal SRP consists of a 7S RNA and homologues of the eukaryotic SRP19 and SRP54 proteins. Lineage: Bacteria; Bacillati; Armatimonadota. The record is from RNAcentral.